RNAcentral lists this ribosomal RNA (426 nucleotides) under uncultured beta proteobacterium. Its description in RNAcentral is "bacterial SSU rRNA". It matches the Rfam family "Bacterial small subunit ribosomal RNA", at positions 9 to 432 of the family's 1533-position model. Lineage: Bacteria; Pseudomonadati; Pseudomonadota; Betaproteobacteria. The record is from RNAcentral.
GAGUUUGAUCGUGGCUCAGAUUGAACGCUGGCGGCAUGCUUUACACAUGCAAGUCGAGCGGCAGCGCGGGGCAACCUGGCGGCGAGCGGCGAACGGGUGAGUAAUGCAUCGGAACGUGUCCUGGAGUGGGGGAUAACCCGGCGAAAGCCGGGCUAAUACCGCAUACGCUCUAUGGAGGAAAGCGGGGGAUCCUUGGGUAACUGAGGACCUCGCGCUCAAGGAGCGGCCGAUGUCCGAUUAGCUAGUUGGUGGGGUAAUGGCCCACCAAGGCGACGAUCGGUAGCUGGUCUGAGAGGAUGAUCAGCCACACUGGGACUGAGACACGGCCCAGACUCCUACGGGAGGCAGCAGUGGGGAAUUUUGGACAAUGGGGGAAACCCUGAUCCAGCCAUGCCGCGUGCGGGAAGAAGGCCUCGGUUGUAACCG